Molecule: ribosomal RNA, 428 nt
Filed under: uncultured delta proteobacterium
Lineage: Bacteria; Deltaproteobacteria
Description: bacterial SSU rRNA
Rfam family: Bacterial small subunit ribosomal RNA
Source: RNAcentral
AACGCGAAGAACCUUACCUGGGUUUGACAUCCUCUGACAUCCGUAGAGAUACGGCCUUCGUAGCAAUACGACAGAGUGACAGGUGCUGCAUGGCUGUCGUCAGCUCGUGUGGUGACAUGUUGGGUUAAGUCCCGCAACGAGCGCAACCCUUGUCCUUAGUUGCCAGCAUUCAGUUGGGCUCUCUAAGGAGACUGCCGUGGUUAACACGGAGGAAGGUGGGGAUGACGUCAAGUCCUCAUGGCCUUUAUAUCCAGGGCGACACACGUGAUACAAUGGACGGUACAGAGGGAAGCGAAACCGCGAGGUGGAGCCAAUCUCAAAAAGCCGUUCUCAGUUCGGAUUGGAGUCUGCAAUUCGACUCCAUGAAGUUGGAAUCGCUAGUAAUCGCGGAUCAGCACGCCGCGGUGAAUACGUUCCCGGGCCUUGUA